RNAcentral lists this ribosomal RNA (385 nucleotides) under uncultured bacterium. RNAcentral describes it as "bacterial SSU rRNA". It matches the Rfam family "Bacterial small subunit ribosomal RNA", at positions 376 to 774 of the family's 1533-position model. The record is from RNAcentral.
CGAAAGCCUGACGGAGCAAUACCGCGUGAGGGAUGACUGCCUAUGGGUUGUAAACCUCUUUUUUCAGGGAGGAACACAAUGACGUGUACCUGAAGAAUAAGCAUCGGCUAACUCCGUGCCAGCAGCCGCGGUAAGACGGAGGAUGCAAGUGUUAUCCGGAAUCACUGGGCGUAAAGCGCCUGUAGGUGGUUUAUUAAGUCCGCUGUUAAAUCUUGAGGCUUAACCCCAAAAUCGCAAUGGAAACUAUUAGACUAGAGUAUGGUAGGGGUAAAGGGAAUUUCCAGUGUAGCGGUGAAAUGCGUAGAUAUUGGAAAGAACACCGAUGGCGAAAGCACUCUACUGGACUAUUACUGACACUCAGAGACGAAAGCUAGGGUAGCAAAUG